This 1109-nucleotide long non-coding RNA is filed under the name Anneissia japonica. RNAcentral describes it as "uncharacterized LOC117115205". The record is from RNAcentral. Lineage: Eukaryota; Metazoa; Echinodermata; Crinoidea; Comatulida; Comatulidae.
CCGGGAUUUAUCAAUCUCAGCUUAGCAAAUGUCUUAAGUCAAAAAAGUUAAGAAGUAGCUAAGCAAAAAUCUUAAGCUGAUUUAUCAAACCGUCUUAGCAAAAUCUUAGCAAAAAUAUCAUCUUAGAUGGCGCAUGCGUACAAUCGACUUCUUGUAGCUUAUAGAGGGCAGCAAAUUUUGUCUUAAGUCGAAAAAUAUUUGCUUACGCAUGCGUAAAAGCCAUUUUUGUGAUUUCAACCGGAAGUGAACUGUCAAAGGUUACGAGAGAUACAGUAAACAAACCAUGUGAGAAAAUUGUGUGCUCGCCAUGCUGGAUGUUCGCUAGUGAAGAUUUUAUCGUUAUUCUUUCUUAUCUUAAUGUUUUAUAUGGAUGGUAAGACGUCUACCAUCACUGUCAGUUUAAUUUGGAUGAACUACAUACAGCUGUGAAAAGCUUGUGGCAUUAAAGGACUUUUACGAUUGAGAGUGCUGGCAGAGAGAAGAGGCGGCCAACAACGAGCAAGGCUAGAGAAAGGCCUGGCCUAGUCUAGUAGAGUGGUCUAGCUAGGCUAGAGCCUUAGCGAGAAAGCUUAGUUUGGCCUACUAGCUAGGCUAGGGGGCCUAGGCUACACAGCUAAUAUAGACCAUAAAAUCAGACGAGGGAACCGAAACAUCUAGGCCUACGACAACUACUAAUUUUUAAAAUGACAAUUGUUUUUGACUUGAGAGAGAUUUCCAGAAAUUUACCCAUGAUGUGUCUACAAUGCAGCAAAAUGGAUUAAAGUCAAUUGCAGCAAAACCAGGUUGUGAAAUGCAGUGGGCAAAGCUGAACUACUAUAAGUUCAGUACCUGUAAUAGCCAAUUCAUAGAGCAUUAUAGAAGCUUUCAGACCUACUGCAGAAUUCAAAACCAACACCUCAGACCCAGGGGCUAGUGACGUCCUCUUCCGCCAGCUUGAAGGAUUCAACCAUAUUUAAGUAUUCGAAGGAGCUCACUAUCCAAUAAUUAUUUGUUCAAAGCGCUGACGACAUCCAAAAAAAAUGCUUAUGAUACCAAUGAUAUUUGCAUGGUGUAAAGUAAUAAUAUACAUUUUAUAUAUUAGGUAAAUCACAAGAUUAAUUUCUCACAUU